AAAUGAUAUGACAUACAUCUUGUGUUUCUUCUAUUCAAUGUCACAAAAUUUGAGACAAAAAAUUUGAAACUCCUAACAUUAACAGAGGAAAAAAAUAGACAAUGCAUAUGAAUCACGUCGGCGAUGCCAGAAAUACGAGGUAUUUAUUUAUUUAACUUUGAGAAUUACAAUAGUACAGUCUUCUCAACUACCGUAAUAUCUAGGUAUCAAGCAGAUUCAUGUAUAUCAUCAUCCAAUUCCUUUCCCUCAACUACUGUAAUAUCUAGGUUUCAAGCAGAUUCAUGUAUAUCAUCAUCCAAUUCCUUUCCUUGCGUCUCGAAUGGAAAUAAUACAACACUAAGUCCCGAAAGAAUUAUCAUAAAUUCAAACACUAAAACUGCAAACAUUUGAUUGCAAUCACCUGCUAACCCAACAG
Molecule: long non-coding RNA, 415 nt
Filed under: Panax ginseng (ginseng)
Lineage: Eukaryota; Viridiplantae; Streptophyta; Magnoliopsida; Apiales; Araliaceae
Description: long non-coding RNA (PGIN_LNC002267)
Source: RNAcentral